This is a long non-coding RNA of Oncorhynchus keta (chum salmon), 1236 nucleotides long. RefSeq lists it as uncharacterized. The record is from RefSeq and is a predicted model, not a curated record. The transcript is spliced from 3 exons. NCBI's taxonomy places the organism in Eukaryota, Metazoa, Chordata, Actinopteri, Salmoniformes, Salmonidae.
UUAGAUUCAGCACCAGAUAAUGUCUGAACCUACAGGUAGAUUAGGACCAGAAUUAGAUUCAGCACCAGAUAAUGUCUGAACCUACAGGUAGAUUAGGACCAGAAUUAGAUUCAGCACCAGAUAAUGUCUGAACCUACAGGUAGAUUAGGACCAGAAUUAGAUUCAGCACCAGAUAAUGUCUGAACCUACAGGUAGAUUAGGACCAGAAUUAGAUUCGGCACCAGAUAAUGUCUGAACCUACAGGUAGAUUAGGACCAGAAUUAGAUUCAGCACCAGAUAAUGUCUGAACCUACAGGUAGAUUAGGACCAGAAUUAGAUUCGGCACCAGAUAAUGUCUGAACCUACAGGUAGAUUAGGACCAGAAUUAGAUUCAGCACCAGAUAAUGUCUGAACCUACAGGUAGAUUAGGACCAGAAUUAGAUUCAGCACCAGAUAAUGUCUGAACCUACAGGUAGAUUAGGACCAGAAUUAGAUUCGGCACCAGAUAAUGUCUGAACCUACAGGUAGAUUAGGACCAGAAUUAGAUUCAGCACCAGAUAAUGUCUGAACCUACAGGUAGAUUAGGACCAGAAUUAGAUUCAGCACCAGAUAAUGUCUGAACCUACAGGUAGAUUAGGACCAGAAUUAGAUUCAGCACCAGAUAAUGUCUGAACCUACAGGUAGAUUAGGACCAGAAUUAGAUUCAGCACCAGAUAAUGUCUGAACCUACAGGUAGAUUAGGACCAGAAUUAGAUUCAGCACCAGAUAAUGUCUGAACCUACAGGUAGAUUAGGACCAGAAUUAGAUUCAGCACCAGAUAAUGUCUGAACCUACAGGUAGAUUAGGACCAGAAUUAGAUUCAGCACCAGAUAAUGUCUGAACCUACAGGUAGAUUAGGACCAGAAUUAGAUUCAGCACCAGAUAAUGUCUGAACCUACAGGUAGAUUAGGACCAGAAUUAGAUUCGGCACCAGAUAAUGUCUGAACCUACAGGUAGAUUAGGACCAGAAUUAGAUUCAGCACCAGAUAAUGUCUGAACCUACAGGUAGAUUAGGACCAGAAUUAGAUUCAGCACCAGAUAAUGUCUGAACCUACAGGUAGAUUAGGACCAGAAUUAGAUUCGGCACCAGAUAAUGUCUCCGUGUAUUCUUAAUCCUGAUCCAGUAAAAACGUAAAAAUGCUUUUGUUUUUUUUGCUCCUUUUGGUCCCCGGGACCAGGAUGAAGAAAUACAACUAUAGAGAGAGGAUUCAUUCUUCA